Molecule: ribosomal RNA, 389 nt
Filed under: uncultured bacterium
Lineage: Bacteria
Description: bacterial SSU rRNA
Rfam family: Bacterial small subunit ribosomal RNA
Source: RNAcentral
AUUGAACGCUGGCGGCAUGCCUUACACAUGCAAGUCGAACGGCAGCACGGGAGUAAUCCUGGUGGCGAGUGGCGAACGGGUGAGUAAUAUAUCGGAACGUGCCCAGUCGUGGGGAGUAACGUAGCGAAAGCUACGCUAAUACCGCAUACGAUCUAUGGAUGAAAGCGGGGGAUCGCAAGACCUCGCGCGAUUGGAGCGGCCGAUAUCAGAUUAGGUAGUUGGUGAGGUAAAGGCUCACCAAGCCGACGAUCUGUAGCUGGUCUGAGAGGACGACCAGCCACACUGGGACUGAGACACGGCCCAGACUCCUACGGGAGGCAGCAGUGGGGAAUUUUGGACAAUGGGCGCAAGCCUGAUCCAGCAAUGCCGCGUGCAGGAUGAAGGCCUUC